CCUACGGGAGGCAGCAGUGGGGAAUCUUCCGCAAUGGGCGAAAGCCUGACGGAGCAACGCCGCGUGAUCGAAUGAAGGCCUUCGGGUUGUAAAGAUCUGUUGACAAGGACGAAUAAGCAAUGCAAAUAGUUUUGUGUAUGACUGUACCUGUUUAGAAAGCUCCGGCUAACUACGGGCCAGCAGCCGCUGUAAUACUGCGUGAGCAAGCGUUGUCCGGAAUUACUGGGCGUAAAGGGCGCUUAGGUGGGCGCUUAAGUCAGGUGUGAAGACUUCGGGCUGAACGUGGAGACUGCAUUUGAAACUGGGUGUCUUGAGGGUAGGAGAGGAAAGUGGAAUUCCUAGUGUAGCGGUAAAAUGCGUAGAGAUUAGGAGGAAUACCAGUGGCGAAGGCGACUUUCUGGAAUGUAACUGACGCUGAGGCGCGAAAGCGUGGGUAGCGAACGGGAUUAGAUACCCCAGUAGUC
Molecule: ribosomal RNA, 464 nt
Filed under: uncultured bacterium
Lineage: Bacteria
Description: partial 16S ribosomal RNA
Rfam family: Bacterial small subunit ribosomal RNA
Source: RNAcentral